UAGGGAAUCUUCCACAAUGGGCGAAAGCCUGAUGGAGCAACGCCGCGUGCAGGAUGAAGGCUCUCGGGUCGUAAACUGCUUUUAUAUGUGAAGCGGUAGCAUAUGAAUAAGGAUCGGAGUAACUGCCGGUACCUUGACGGUACCUAACCAGAAAGCCACGGCUAACUAC
RNAcentral lists this ribosomal RNA (169 nucleotides) under uncultured bacterium. RNAcentral describes it as "partial 16S ribosomal RNA". It matches the Rfam family "Bacterial small subunit ribosomal RNA", at positions 355 to 504 of the family's 1533-position model. The record is from RNAcentral.